AUGAAGGAAGCAGUGCAACAUCGCCUGAAGCAACGUGAGGAUGAAUUCCUCAAGAUGGUUGAGGAGACACAGGACAAAGUGUUUGAAGAAAUCAGGAACAAGGCGGAUGCUAAACGGCACAGAGACCUCGAGGACACUCUUGGUGAUUUCAUGGAGCGUGUGAAGAGACAAGCUCCAAUGGCGGCAGCAUUUCCUAACGUGAGCAAGACCUCGCAUCGUCCCAGGACGAUGACAGUUGUUGCCCAAGAUCUGGCUGAAACUUCACGCGAAGCUGCGAGGUCUUUGAUGUCAGUGGUUGUUGCUAACGAGGCGACACGUGUCCAGCCAGCAGAAUUGCAUGGUGUGGCUGCUGCAACCACGGGGGUGCAAGGACCUGACCUGAAUGCAUGCCCUGGGGUGCUUGUGGGUUUGCUUGGCAAAGAAACUGCUGUCCAGGAGCCCGUUGAUGAACCAGAGGAUAAGCCUAUGAUUGUGGACCGCAAAGGCAAGGGGCCGGCUAUUGACGUGGUCUACCGCAGGUGCAGUAGACAGACAACCAUGCAUGAGGUGCUUGGCGUGGCAGGUUCUUCCUCUAGAGAUCAUGUGCCUGUCCAUCAUCCGGUGGUUGCGUCUGUAGACACUGAUAUGACUGAAGCAGUUGUGCCGGAUGCUUUGCAGAUGCAAAAUGAUGGGCUUGCAGGAAUUGCCACAACCACACAAAUAGGGAACAGGAGUUUGGCACUGCCUGGUAAUGGGGAACAAAGCAACCCGGUCCCUCUUGCGGUUGUUCCUGCUUUGCCACCUGCACGUGAUUACGGCUACUCUCCAUUUGAGCUGGAUCUAUAA
RNAcentral lists this ribosomal RNA (825 nucleotides) under Triticum aestivum (bread wheat). RNAcentral describes it as "partial small subunit ribosomal RNA". The record is from RNAcentral. Lineage: Eukaryota; Viridiplantae; Streptophyta; Magnoliopsida; Poales; Poaceae.